GGGCGUAAAGCGAGCGCAGACGGUUGAUUAAGUCUGAUGUGAAAGCCCGGAGCUCAACUCCGGAAUGGCAUUGGAAACUGGUUAACUUGAGUGCAGUAGAGGUAAGUGGAACUCCAUGUGUAGCGGUGGAAUGCGUAGAUAUAUGGAAGAACACCAGUGGCGAAGGCGGCUUACUGGACUGUAACUGACGUUGAGGCUCGAAAGUGUGGGUAGCAAACAGGAUUAGAUACCCUGGUAGUCCACACCGUAAACGAUGAACACUAGGUGUUAGGAGGUUUCCGCCUCUUAGUGCCGAAGCUAACGCAUUAAGUGUUCCGCCUGGGGAGUACGACCGCAAGGUUGAAACUCAAAGGAAUUGACGGGGACCCGCACAAGCGGUGGAGCAUGUGGUUUAAUUCGAAGCAACGCGAAGAACCUUACCAGGUCUUGACAUCCUUUGAAGCUUUUAGAGAUAGAAGUGUUCUCUUCGGAGACAAAGUGACAGGUGGUGCAUGGUCGUCGUCAGCUCGUGUCGUGAGAUGUUGGGUUAAGUCCCGCAACGAGCGCAACCCUUAUUGUUAGUUGCCAGCAUUCAGAUGGGCACUCUAGCGAGACUGCCGGUGACAAACCGGAGGAAGGCGGGGACGACGUCAGAUCAUCAUGCCCCUUAUGACCUGGGCUACACACGUGCUACAAUGGCGUAUACAACGAGUUGCCAACCCGCGAGGGUGAGCUAAUCUCUUAAAGUACGUCUCAGUUCGGAUUGUAGUCUGCAACUCGACUACAUGAAGUCGGAAUCGCUAGUAAUCGCGGAUCAGCACGCCGCGGUGAAUACGUUCCCGGGUCUUGUACACACCGCCCGUCACACCAUGGGAGUUUGUAAUGCCCAAAGCCGGUGGCCUAACCUUUUAGGAAGGAGCCGUCUAAGGCAGGACAGAUGACUGGGGUGAAGUCG
Molecule: ribosomal RNA, 934 nt
Filed under: Leuconostoc mesenteroides
Lineage: Bacteria; Bacillati; Bacillota; Bacilli; Lactobacillales; Lactobacillaceae
Description: bacterial SSU rRNA
Rfam family: Bacterial small subunit ribosomal RNA
Source: RNAcentral